ACCCUACAGGUGUUGUGAGUAUGGCUGCUGUGUCACGUGUGUCAGUAGGUGGCAGAGAGGAGAGAGGCUAAGUCUAAAUUCAGUGUUCUGACCUGUGAACAUCAGAAUGAUUAGUAGUGGGAACAGG
This is a small nucleolar RNA of Grammomys surdaster, 127 nucleotides long. RefSeq annotates it as small nucleolar RNA SNORA17. The transcript has a single exon. NCBI's taxonomy places the organism in Eukaryota, Metazoa, Chordata, Mammalia, Rodentia, Muridae. The record is from RefSeq and is a predicted model, not a curated record.